CUUCAGGUCCCUGUUCGGGCGCCAGAUGUCGCAGCCCAAGACCCCCUUUGCCCGCAAAGGAGAGGACCG
MicroRNA precursor from Procavia capensis (Cape rock hyrax), 69 nucleotides. Lineage: Eukaryota; Metazoa; Chordata; Mammalia; Hyracoidea; Procaviidae. The record is from Ensembl.